UUUUGACCUCGGAUCAGGUAGGGAUACCCGCUGAACUUAAGCAUAUCAUA
RNAcentral lists this ribosomal RNA (50 nucleotides) under Alternaria sp. H02-711S-2. RNAcentral's name for it is "partial 28S ribosomal RNA". RNAcentral also lists the same sequence under 4 other names. The record is from RNAcentral. Lineage: Eukaryota; Fungi; Ascomycota; Dothideomycetes; Pleosporales; Pleosporaceae.